GAUCCUGGCUCGGGACGAACGCUGGCGGCGUGCCUAACACAUGCAAGUCGAACGGAAGUUAGAGCUUCGGUUUUAACUUUAGUGGCGAACGGGUGAGUAACGCGUGAGGAACCUGCCUUUCAGUGGGGGACAACAGUUGGAAACGACUGCUAAUACCGCAUGACACUUUUGGGGGACAUCCCUUAAAAGUCAAAGCUUUAUGUGCUGAAAGAUGGCCUCGCGUCUGAUUAGCUGGUUGGUGAGGUAACGGCUCACCAAGGCG
RNAcentral lists this ribosomal RNA (262 nucleotides) under uncultured bacterium. RNAcentral's name for it is "partial 16S ribosomal RNA". It matches the Rfam family "Bacterial small subunit ribosomal RNA", at positions 15 to 275 of the family's 1533-position model. The record is from RNAcentral.